UUGGCAGCACCAAGAUCAGAUCCAUUUCAUGGGAGAAGAUUCUCAGAAACCAAAUUCAAAACACCGAUGAUCUAAAGUCAGAAUAAUAACAAUAAUUCACAACGAGAAAAGAAAAAAAUCUCACAUGAGAUGGGAUACUUGUAUUGACAUCAAUGUUCUUUGCUCCUGGUGGUCAGGAAUCUUCUGACAUCUUCAACUGCUCUGUGAAAUCUACUGUAAAAUGCUGUUAGAGCCAGUUGGAUAAUGCAACCAACACAGAGAAGGGAGCCAAAUGAUGAUGAGGAAGAAACCAGUUUUGGGUGACAUCAUUUAGACCUCUGCAUCAAAAAUUGCUUGAAGGAGACAAGGAGAGAGAACCCACCAAACCUCUGCAAUCUGUCAUACUUUCCUAGAUGAAUAUUAAAUGUUUGGGAAAAAGAGAAA
Molecule: long non-coding RNA, 423 nt
Organism: Equus quagga
Lineage: Eukaryota; Metazoa; Chordata; Mammalia; Perissodactyla; Equidae
Exons: 4
Source: RefSeq, a predicted model, not a curated record